RNAcentral lists this ribosomal RNA (497 nucleotides) under uncultured bacterium. RNAcentral describes it as "partial 16S ribosomal RNA". It matches the Rfam family "Bacterial small subunit ribosomal RNA", at positions 28 to 507 of the family's 1533-position model. The record is from RNAcentral.
GAUGAACGCUGGCGGCGUGCCUAAUACAUGCAAGUCGAGCGAACAGACGAGGAGCUUGCUCCUCUGACGUUAGCGGCGGACGGGUGAGUAACACGUGGAUAACCUACCUAUAAGACUGGGAUAACUUCGGGAAACCGGAGCUAAUACCGGAUAAUAUAUUGAACCGCAUGGUUCAAUAGUGAAAGACGGUUUUGCUGUCACUUAUAGAUGGAUCCGCGCCGCAUUAGCUAGUUGGUAAGGUAACGGCUUACCAAGGCGACGAUGCGUAGCCGACCUGAGAGGGUGAUCGGCCACACUGGAACUGAGACACGGUCCAGACUCCUACGGGAGGCAGCAGUAGGGAAUCUUCCGCAAUGGGCGAAAGCCUGACGGAGCAACGCCGCGUGAGUGAUGAAGGUCUUCGGUUCGUAAAACUCUGUUAUUGGGGAAGAACAAAUGUGUAAGUAAAUAUGGACGUCUUGACGGUACCUAAUCAAAAAGCCACGGCUAACUACGUG